UACGUAGGGGGCGAGCGUUGUCCGGAUUUAUUGGGCGUAAAGAGCGUGUAGGCGGCCAGGUAGGUCCGUUGUGAAAACUCGAGGCUCAACCUCGAGACGUCGAUGGAAACCAUCUGGCUAGAGUCCGGAAGAGGAGAGUGGAAUUCCUGGUGUAGCGGUGAAAUGCGCAGAUAUCAGGAAGAACACCCGUGGCGAAGGCGGCUCACUGGUCCGGUACUGACGCUGAGGUGCGAAAGCGUGGGGAGCAAACAGG
RNAcentral lists this ribosomal RNA (253 nucleotides) under uncultured bacterium. RNAcentral's name for it is "partial 16S ribosomal RNA". It matches the Rfam family "Bacterial small subunit ribosomal RNA", at positions 524 to 776 of the family's 1533-position model. The record is from RNAcentral.